GACGAACGCUGGCGGCGUGCCUAAUACAUGCAAGUUGAGCGCUGAAGGUUGGUUCUUGUACCAACUGGAUGAGCAGCGAACGGGUGAGUAACGCGUGGGGAAUCUGCCUUUGAGCGGGGGACCACAUUUGGAAACGAAUGCUAAUACCGCAUACAAACUUUAAACACAAGUUUUAAGUUUGAAAGAUGCAAUUGCAUCACUCAAAGAUGAUCCCGCGUUGUAUUAGCUAGUUGGUGAGGUAAAGGCUCACCAAGGCGAUGAUACAUAGCCGACCUGAGAGGGUGAUCGGCCACAUUGGGACGGGGACACGGCCCAAGCUCCUACGGGAGGGAGCAGUAGGGAAUCGUCGGCAAUGGAGGAAAGUCUGGCCGAACAACGCCGCGUGAGGGGAGAAGGUUUUCGGAGCGUAAAACUCUGUUGGUAGAGGAGAACGUUGGUGAGAGUGGAAAGCUCAUCAAGUGACGGUAACUACACAGAAAGCGACGGCUAACUACGUG
RNAcentral lists this ribosomal RNA (497 nucleotides) under uncultured bacterium. RNAcentral describes it as "partial 16S ribosomal RNA". It matches the Rfam family "Bacterial small subunit ribosomal RNA", at positions 28 to 507 of the family's 1533-position model. The record is from RNAcentral.